This 70-nucleotide transfer RNA is filed under the name Dyscophus antongilii (tomato frog). Its description in RNAcentral is "tRNA-Trp". It matches the Rfam family "tRNA". Rfam says of the family: Transfer RNA (tRNA) molecules are approximately 80 nucleotides in length. Their secondary structure includes four short double-helical elements and three loops (D, anti-codon, and T loops). Further hydrogen bonds mediate the characteristic L-shaped molecular structure. tRNAs have two regions of fundamental functional importance: the anti-codon, which is responsible for specific mRNA codon recognition, and the 3' end, to which the tRNAs corresponding amino acid is attached (by aminoacyl-tRNA synthetases). tRNAs cope with the degeneracy of the genetic code in two manners: having more than one tRNA (with a specific anti-codon) for a particular amino acid; and 'wobble' base-pairing, i.e. permitting non-standard base-pairing at the 3rd anti-codon position. The record is from RNAcentral. Lineage: Eukaryota; Metazoa; Chordata; Amphibia; Anura; Microhylidae.
AGAAACUUAGGAUAAAUUAGACCAAGGGCCUUCAAAGUCCUAAGUAGAAGUGGAAAUCUUCUAGUUUCUG